Molecule: ribosomal RNA, 123 nt
Filed under: Inocybe magnifolia
Lineage: Eukaryota; Fungi; Basidiomycota; Agaricomycetes; Agaricales; Inocybaceae
Description: partial 5.8S ribosomal RNA
Rfam family: 5.8S ribosomal RNA
About the family: 5.8S ribosomal RNA (5.8S rRNA) is a component of the large subunit of the eukaryotic ribosome. It is transcribed by RNA polymerase I as part of the 45S precursor that also contains 18S and 28S rRNA. Functionally, it is thought that 5.8S rRNA may be involved in ribosome translocation.
Source: RNAcentral
GAUGAAGAACGCAGCAAAAUGCGAUAAGUAAUGUGAAUUGCAGAAUUCAGUGAAUCAUCGAAUCUUUGAACGCAUCUUGUGCUCCUUGGUAAUCUGAGGAGCAUGCCUGUUUGAGUGUCAUUA